This is a non-coding RNA of Cordylochernes scorpioides, 71 nucleotides long. NCBI's taxonomy places the organism in Eukaryota, Metazoa, Arthropoda, Arachnida, Pseudoscorpiones, Chernetidae. The record is from the annotation of a GenBank genome assembly.
GCCGAAAUAGCUGUUGGGAGAGCGUUAGACUGAAGAUCUAAAGGUCCCUGGUUCGAUCCCGGGUUUCGGCA